CAGUCGCCGCGUAAUACGUAGGUGGCAAGCGUUGUCCGGAAUUAUUGGGCGUAAAGGGCUCGCAAGCGGUUUCUUAAGUCUGAUGUGAAAGCCCCCGGCUCAACCGGGGAGGGUCAUUGGAAACUGGGAAACUUGAGUGCAGAAGAGGAGAGUGGAAUUCCACGUGUAGCGGUGAAAUGCGUAGAGAUGUGGAGGAACACCAGUGGCGAAGGCGACUCUCUGGUCUGUAACUGACGCUGAGAAGCGAAAGCGUGGGGAGCGAACAGGAUUAGAUACCCGUGUAGUCCCCUGUCUCUUAUAC
This 301-nucleotide ribosomal RNA is filed under the name uncultured bacterium. RNAcentral's name for it is "partial 16S ribosomal RNA". It matches the Rfam family "Bacterial small subunit ribosomal RNA", at positions 509 to 807 of the family's 1533-position model. The record is from RNAcentral.